This is a microRNA precursor of Astatotilapia calliptera (eastern happy), 66 nucleotides long. The record is from Ensembl. NCBI's taxonomy places the organism in Eukaryota, Metazoa, Chordata, Actinopteri, Cichliformes, Cichlidae.
ACAUUGUUAAGUCUGGAGUUUUGUCUUUCAGGUGAAAAACUCCAAAACACAGACUUAACAAUGUGG